AAGGCUCACCAAGGCGAUGACGGGUAGGGGGCGUGAGAGCGUGUCCCCCCACAAGGUCACUGAGACACGGGACCUACACCUACGGGUGGCAGCAACUAGGAAUAUUGCGCAAUGGGCGAAAGCCUGACGCAGCGACACCGCGUGAUGGAAGACGCCUUUCGGGGUGUAAACAUCUGUGGCAGGGGAAGAAGAUCUGACUGUACCCUGCUAGAAAGUACCGGCAAACUACGUGCCAGCAGCCGCGGUAAUACGUAGGGUACAAGCGUUAUCCGGAUUUACUGGGCGUAAAGCGUUCCGUAGGCGUCUUAUUAAGUUUUCGUUAAAAUCCCGGGGCUCAACUUCGGAACUGGCGAGAAUACUGAUAGGAUCGAGUGUGUUCGGGGAAGCUGGAAUUGAUGGUGGAGGGGUGAAAUCCGUUGAGAUCAUCAAGAACACCGAGGGCGAAGGCAGGCUUCUAGGACAAUACUGACGCUGAUGGACGAAAGCUAGGGUAGCAAACUGGAUUAGAGACCCAGGUAGUCCUAGCCGUAAACGAUGGAUACUAGCUGCUUGAGAUUUAUCUUGAGUGGCGUAAGCUAACGCGUUAAGUAUCCCGCCUGGGGAGUACGGCCGCAAGGUUAAAACUCAAAGGAAUUGACGGGGGAGCGCACAACCAGUGGAGCAUGUGGUUUAAUUCGAUACGAAGCGAAGGACCUUACCUGGGCUUGAAAUGUACCUGCGAACUUUGGGAAACCAGAGCAUCUUUCGAAGGGGGUACACAGCUACUGCAUGGCUGUCGUCAGCUCGUGUCGUGAGACGUCCGCUUAAGUGCGGUAACGAGCGCAACCCUUGCCGUGUGUUGCAAUUCACACGGGACUGCCUUGUUACGAACAGGGAGGAAGGAGAGGACGACGUCAAGUCAGUAUGGUGCUUACGUCCAGGGCAACACACAUCCUACAAUGGCCACAACAACGGGUAGCGACGGGGUGACCCUGAGCCAAUCCUUAAAUGUGGUCUCAGUUCAGAUUGCAGGCUGAAAUUCGCCUGCAUGAAGUUGGAAUUGGUAGUAAUCGCGGGUCAGCAGACCGCGGUGAAUACGUUCUCGCUCCUUGUACACACUGCCCGUCAAGCCAGCAAAGUUAGCAGCGCCCGAAGUGGGAUUUCUAAACUUAAUAGCAAUAUUAAGAUGGAGCCCCCUAAGGUGAGGUUAGCGAUGAGGACUAAGUCGUAACAAGGUAUCCGUACUGGAAGGUGCGGAUG
Molecule: ribosomal RNA, 1239 nt
Filed under: metagenome
Description: bacterial SSU rRNA
Rfam family: Bacterial small subunit ribosomal RNA
Source: RNAcentral